Molecule: ribosomal RNA, 427 nt
Filed under: uncultured bacterium
Lineage: Bacteria
Description: bacterial SSU rRNA
Rfam family: Bacterial small subunit ribosomal RNA
Source: RNAcentral
UGGGGAAUUUUGGACAAUGGACGCAAGUCUGAUCCAGCCAUGCCGCGUGCGGGAAGAAGGCCUUCGGGUUGUAAACCGCUUUUGUCAGGGAAGAAACGAGUUUCUCUAAUACAGAGACUUAAUGACGGUACCUGAAGAAUAAGCACCGGCUAACUACGUGCCGGCAGCCGCGGUAAUACGUAGGGUGCAAGCGUUAAUCGGAAUUACUGGGCGUAAAGCGUGCGCAGGCGGUUUUGUAAGUCUAAUGUGAAAUCCCCGGGCUCAACCUGGGAAUUGCAUUGGAGACUGCAAGGCUAGAAUCUGGCAGAGGGGGGUAGAAUUCCGCGUGUAGCAGUGAAAUGCGUAGAUAUGCGGAGGAACACCGAUGGCGAAGGCAAUCCCCUGGGCCUGUACUGACGCUCAUGCACGAAAGCGUGGGGAGCAAACA